UACGUAGGUGGCGAGCGUUGUCCGGAUUUACUGGGCGUAAAGAGCGCGCAGGCGGUCGUGCAAGUCGCGUGUGAAAGCCCCCGGCUCAACUGGGGAGGGUCACGCGAUACUGCUCGACUCGAAGGCAGGAGAGGGAAGUGGAAUUCCCGGUGUAGUGGUGAAAUGCGUAGAUAUCGGGAGGAACACCAGUGACGAAGGCGACUUCCUGGCCCGUUCUUGACGCUGAGGCGCGAAAGCUAGGGUAGCAAACGGG
This 253-nucleotide ribosomal RNA is filed under the name uncultured bacterium. RNAcentral's name for it is "partial 16S ribosomal RNA". It matches the Rfam family "Bacterial small subunit ribosomal RNA", at positions 524 to 776 of the family's 1533-position model. The record is from RNAcentral.